Triticum aestivum (bread wheat) is the source of this 3403-nucleotide long non-coding RNA. RefSeq lists it as uncharacterized. The record is from RefSeq and is a predicted model, not a curated record. NCBI's taxonomy places the organism in Eukaryota, Viridiplantae, Streptophyta, Magnoliopsida, Poales, Poaceae. The transcript is spliced from 6 exons.
GCCGCUCCAUCUCCGUCCGUGCCAUCCGCCGCCGCCGCCAUGCCCCUCCUCCUCCCCUUGGUUUCUCUCCUCUUCGAGCUGCCUCUCCUCCACCCGCACCAUCGACCAUCUCCCUACCUCUUUCUCCUGUCCGCGAGACAGUGCCUUCCCACGUUCUCGAUCCGGCAUUGCCGUGCACGGUGGUUUCAGAUCGUGCGCAGGUCGCAGGCAUGGAAGUAAGGGGCGUGGUGGUUUCUGUGAUGUGUAUGGAGGAGCGGGGGAAGGUGAGGAUGACGGACAGGUGGGAAGGCGCAGCAAGACUGGAGCUGCAGCGCUCGCAUCAUGAUGGCGUGGAGCCGUCCAUCACUACCCAUCGACCCUAGUUUAGAUAUGUACAGAUCAGACGAAGAAGAGAAGAGGCAACCCGUUCGCUAUGGUGAGUUGCAAGGUAGCGGGAGGAUGCCGGUUAUAGCAAAAGGAGCAGGCUGGUGAGGAGGGAAAGCAGCACCGGAAGGAUCUACGAGGUUGCUGUUGGUUCUUGGGUUCUCAGUACCCACCUAGAUCAUUGCACUUCUCCUAGAGGACAGUCUAUUAUCAUAAGGGAAACUUGUGUGAUUGGCAAUUAGCAUCAACACUUUGAAGAGCUCGGAGUAGUAGUUUGAAUGCAAGCAAACUGCAACAUGAUUAUCUCUUUAACCCUGUUAAGGUAAAGUAUUCUUCUUUGUAUUUUGGUCAUUCAAUAUUGAAUCACAAUUCACAAGUGGUCUAUGUCUUUCAACGCGGUGCCUCAUGUCCGAUCACUAAACAAUAUUGUAACAGUUCAGAGGUACUUUGAAUGCUUAUAUUUUUUGCUUCCAUUUUUUCCCAGUCCAAUGUCCUCGUAAUGAUUUAGUGCCUCAUGUUUGGCAUUUCUAAUGGGUAGAGUUUAUCAAAUGGUUCAUUUGUCCACACGAUCUUGACAUAGUCAGGAAGCAUCAUAUUUGUACUUUGUGUGUGUUCCUCAGUUAACCCUUUUGAUCUUUACGAUGCAUCAAUAUUUAAUAAGUGCACAUGCACACAAGAACAUGAGACUAGCCACAAUGGAGAGUAACAUACACUAGUAACAUACACAUAUCCCUAGACUAUGUUACUACCUUAAUAGUAGGUAGUAACAUAAGUGUCGUAACAUGUUAAGCUUUAUUUAUUAGGCUAUAGACUCAUAUUGCAUUGGGACAUGUGAUGUUACAGUAACUAGCUAAGUUACUAGUACUACAUCUCUCCUCAUUAACUCAUUGCCACAUAAGAAAAUUUGCUAAGUUGGACUCAAUGUUACUACCGAAAUUACUCCCACUGUGGCUAGUCUGAUAGCACGAUGAUUGCACUAUUCCAGUGCCUUGAUUGUAUGGCAUAGACAUGCUAUUAUGCGUAACUACUGCUUGUUGCGCUCAAAUCCUUUUCAUUUCAGGUCCUCCUGUUGUAGUCAUGUGAACUUACAAAGUUCAAUAGCUAUACACUGGGUAUUCUGAAGAAACUUUGCUAUCCCUGGAUUAUAAAUGUCAAAUACAGUUGACAUCCAUCGUUGUUUCUCGAUUUUUCACCUUUAAAUGUAUUAAGGUUUUUUCUUUUGUCCACAAGUGAAGCUUACUUGAUGUACCUAUAUCUAAUAGCAAAGUAUUUCGAAUGCCUUCUUCAUUUCUGUCUUGAUUAACAUGUCCAAUUUCUUUUUCUUGCUAGAGAUGUAUAUAACGGUGUUAUGCAUUUUAUUUCCUGCUAUGUAAAAAACAUUUUGUGUCCAACAUCUUAGUUCAUCGAAUGGUUUGCUAGCUAUAUCACUGGCUUUCAUGCUUUAAGACGAUGAAUUUAACCUGCUGGUCAUUCAUAUCUCCAUCCCUCUGCAAUGAAAAAAAUGUGAAUUGCUCUUGCCUAAUUUUGGAAAACCAAAUCUGCAUCAUGUUGAUAUGCUUCACGGCGAUCAUGCUUUUCACACCCAUAUAAUGAUGCCGUGCUUUUCCUUUUGAUAGUACUUUUUGUGUGUUCCUUUAUCUUGGGCAGUAUGUAAGUUACUUUGUCAAUCAUGUAUAGUAUGGAAGUUAUGUAAAGGAAUAUUUACUGAAAUAUUAUGUAAAACCUAUGGUUCAAAGCAAAUCUUUGGUAAAUUAGAAUAUUGACUUAACUAUUUGGCAGUGUUAUUAUUGAUGGUCUGGAAUUUCAAACUCAUCCGUUUAAUUAUUUGAGAGCAUCAUCAAUAUUUUUUCCAGCAACAUAAUUACAAAAAUAAACAUGGCCACAAAAUUUAGCUUCUUAGGCAAAUAAAGUUCAAUGUACCAUUUGCAUCAUCUAAAUGAUUUCAUUCGAAUUUGAAUGCCACCUGUAUCAUCAAAAAUCAGGCACAAACAUAGUUACCUUCAUGUCCACUUCCAUAAUCUGAUUGUGUUAAUGCUGCUCCAUGAAAGACAAAAACAAUUCUUCUUACUAAUGAACAACAUCACUUGCAACAAAAUUAGAUCCCAGCUAUUAUGAACAUUUUAUUAUCUACUCACAUGAUGCAUAUAUGUCUACUCAUGCUAUCUUCUUCUUUGUCGUCAGCCUACAGUGAUGGAAAGAAUCAGAAUCCCAACAAAAAUACUGUUCAAUGCUAGAUGCAGCAGCUAGGCCUCCCAGAUGAAGUGUACUCAACACAGAAGGCAAGAGCAAUUGGUCUUGGCGCAACUAUUCACUUCUAUCCCUCCAAGCAUCAACUGGACAACAAUCUUCCAAGACAAUCAAUAUCAAUCCAUGUAUCCAACAAACUAGAAGAUGUUGAAGAUCAACUAGCAAACGAAGCUCUCAAGUACAUGAAAAGCAUCCACCGUAAAGUGCCGUAAAGUGCUGCAGGACAUAAACUACGACAAGAUGCAGCUGCUCCAGCAGAAGUGUGAAGCUCUUGAGCAUCAGCAGAAAGAAAAGGACAACCUAAUAGACUAUUUUAGCAACAGUUGGUGCUAUAGCCUCGGUGGAGAUCACAUGGCAGCAAAGGAACUUUACCGUAUAAUAGAUAGCAACUUCACAGCCGGAUCAAUAUCCAAAGACAAUGAUUGGAAUCAUAUUUUGUCGCAAGUAAGAUAUGUUGCUGAUCAUACAGCCACACAAUCAGAGUAUGAACUCCAACAGACAAACAAGUACUACUGGAGCUUGGAUGAUGAUGUUGAAGGAAUUUCUGCUAUGAACAAUGAAAACAUCCAACCACAACCACUAUGAACAAUUGCCUGAACAAGUUUUCAGCGCCGAUGAUCCACCAAUCACACUGACUAAUGUUCAUGACUUCAUAAUGGCUAUAAGAUGUCUCUCUCCCUAUCUACCUUCCUUCCUAAUAGCAUUGUAAAUAUUUUAUCGUAAGCUUCUUAGAUCACUAUGUAUCACGAAUAAUCCAUGUGUUCUAAUCUGCCCCUAAAUAUAUUUAUGUUCA